RNAcentral lists this long non-coding RNA (2954 nucleotides) under Jatropha curcas. RNAcentral's name for it is "long non-coding RNA (JCUR_LNC002079)". Lineage: Eukaryota; Viridiplantae; Streptophyta; Magnoliopsida; Malpighiales; Euphorbiaceae. The record is from RNAcentral.
UAUUUUUACGCAUGUUUAUCAGCAAUUUGAGAGAGACUGUUACACAGUUGCUGUGGUUUGCAAAACAUGGGCAUGUGAUCUACUCCUUCCAUCUUGAUCACUUCUUCAACAGGAUUAUUUUCAAUCAUCCAUUCUUGAAAUUCUUUAGGUAUUGCCUUGUCUUCUUCGCAUCUAAUAUACACUUUUUUAACAGAUCCAUAUCCUUCACUUGAGAAUUUUUUUGCCAUUGACAAAUCAUGUUGAAACAAUGAUGAUGGCCUUGUCAAAGUCUUUGCCAACUCAAGAUCCUUCAAGAAAAUGCAAAUUUUGAAAUGUAAUUAGAUUUUUGGCCUUUUUAAAAGAUAUGGAUAGAAGAAAACAUGGACUCGUAACAUAAAAACAAAAGAAAGAAAGAAAGAUAAGACAGAAAGAAGAAGUACCUCUAUCGGUGUCAGCUGAUAGAGCUUGGAGGAUAAGAAUUUGGGGCCGAAAAACAUUGUCGAAAGAUGCGGUAAGGAGGUGCUAUAGGGCAGGAAUUGUGUGUCCAACCAUGCCUCACUUGGGGUCCUUUCAUUGUACUGUAUUUAAUCAAGAAACAAACGUACGAUGAGCUCAAACAUAUACGAGAAACCUAGCUCUGGUUUUUGUUUUUUUUUUUUUUUUAAAUCUUACUAAGAUUGAAAAUAAGAUUUAGCUUCCUUUUUCAGAAAAUUAUGCAACAAGAAUUUCUUGUCUGUCUAAUGAACAUGGGACAGAGAGUUAAAAUCCUAACAGCUCCGACGCCUUCUAAACAUGCCAAUUAAUGAAACACGUAUACCUUUUGCAGGACAAAUGAUGGCUGGUGGACUGAAUCCGGCAAGAAAGCAGUCAAGAAAACAGCAACAGAAAUCUUUUCUGGAAAUUUUUCCAUUGCAAGAGCCAAAUUCAGACCACCAAGGCUGUGACCAACAAGUAUAACCCUUUCAUCUGAUUGGAGUGAAGCCAAAAACUCUAACAAAGGCUUUGAGUAAUCACCAAAAGUCUGAAUUUCUUGAAUUGCCUUCAUGUUGAUGCCAGAAGCCGCCAGGUCAAGCGCCGUGACACGGUAGCCAGCGGAUUCAAGACGUGGCUUCAACUUGUACCAGCACCAAGCUCCAUGGCAUGCACCGUGGACUAGAACAAAAUGUUUUUGUUUCUUGGAACCUGCCAUCUUUAAUUGCUUAAUGUGUGGUCUAAGAUCGCCAUUUUCCUUACAUUUAUAGUAAUAUGAAAGAAGGUGUUAACGAGAAAACUGUCAGGAAAUUGUAAGUCCACUGUCUGAACAUUUUCCACAAGGCAACAACUAGCUCUAAUUAAAUUUUCUUGAUACAGUUUUAUUAGUAAAAAAUCAAAAUUGAAAAUUAGUUGGUGGGAGCUAGCUGUUGUUUGCUUUCCAAAUUGAGAGGUGGGAUUUGAAAUUUCAAACAUAGGAAACGUAUCACCGACAACUCACAACAGUGAGUCAGUGACUAAAAAGUAAAAGUAAUUGAUUUUUGGAGGCAGUCAAUUAUUGAAUUUCGAACAAAAUUUGAUUUGGGUAAGUAAGAAUUGGACGUUAUAGAAAUUUCACAUUGUCAGAAAAAUUCAGGAAACUUCAUUUCUAUUUUUUUUUUUUUUUUCAUAUGUAUUAGAAUUAUAUUUUUUCAGUUCCAAAGAACAAAAAUAGAUUGAAAUCACAUAAAAAUUUAAAUAAUAUCAAUAUUUUUAAUCAUCUUCUUUAAAUAUUUUUAUUUUCACUCAAAUAUAAAUAAUUAUAAUUCUUUCUAAAAUUUAUUUAUCGGAAAAAUUUGUUAAUCAAAAUAUUAAAUGUCGAUUAUCAAAUGGCGUAGAGAUUCUGAAAAAAGAUUGUGAAGUAUUUCAUAAUGUUUUAUAAACAUUUUGAUUAUUACUUUUUUCAUUCCUUUUUUAUUCUUUGUUUUUUUUUUUUUUAGUUAUUGCAAUAUAAUCAGGUCUAAAUUGUUGGAUGCAAGUCUCAAGAUGUAAUUAUUAAUCCGGAGAAAAAAAUUUUAAAAUAUUUUUUAGAUUAAAUCACUCAAAUUUAUUUUAUUAUAUGAUUAGGAAUAAUUGCUCACAAAGUUCAUCAUAUAUCACUUAAUUAGUCAUUCCAUCACGAGCCCUUUUUUUCAUUCAAUUUUGUUAAAAUUACUCAUCUUUUUUCUAUUAUUAUUAUUGCUAAAUUCAAUUUGAUGUAUAUAUAUGAAUCCAAUGUUUUAAAACUAUAUUUAAAAGAAAAUUAAAAUUCCAACAGAAAUUAAUCAAUGAAAAGUAAUAUGUUUCCUUCUCUGACUUAUGACUUAGCGUUUCAAAUGGUCAUCACUGACGGCUGCCAACAAUUUUUCUUUUUCUUCUUCUUCUUCUUCUUCUUCAUUGUAUACAUACAAGUUCUUCAAGAACAUAUGCAAUAUUCAGUAUUACUACAGCUAGAAAAUUAUUAUAGGGGAGGGUGAAAAGUUAGAUUACAGUAAUUACUGAACCAAAUCUUGACAAAAGUUAAAUUAAUAACAAUAUCUAAUGAUACCAACACAAUCUUUUAUUAUAAUGACCCUAAUUAAUAUUUAAUAGUAUUAGCAUAUAAUAAUAUUAAACAAAGGCUCUCUAAAUAUUUUUAAGCAUGUUUAUCAGCAAUUUGAGAGAGACAGUUACACAGUUGCUAUGGUUUGCAAAACGUGGGCAUAUGAUCUACUCCUUCCAUCUUGAUCACUUCUUCAACAGGAUUAUUUUCAAUCAUCCAUUCUUGAAAUUCUUUAGGUAUUGCCUUGUCUUCUUCGCAUAUAAUAUACACUUUUCUAACAGAUCCAUGUCCUUCACUUGAGAAUUCUUUUGCCAUUGACAAAUCAUGUUGAAACAAUGAUGGUGGUCUUGCCAAAAUCUUUGCCAACUCAAGAUCCUUCAAGAACAUGCAAAUUUUGAAAUUCGAUUAGAUUUUUGUGGCCCUUUUAUAAAGAUAUGAACAAAAG